Poeciliopsis prolifica (blackstripe livebearer) is the source of this 226-nucleotide long non-coding RNA. RefSeq lists it as uncharacterized. The record is from RefSeq and is a predicted model, not a curated record. The transcript is spliced from 4 exons. Lineage: Eukaryota; Metazoa; Chordata; Actinopteri; Cyprinodontiformes; Poeciliidae.
UCUGAGACGUACCAGUCCUUGUUGAUUUUUAUACUGCUUGACUAUAUUGGGACAAUACGGCACCUGUAACAAAAACACCCUCAUAAGAUGUCUGUCUACUUCCUGCACAUGCUGAAACUCAGAGCAGAUCACUGCAGACAAGCGACAGUGAUGGCCUUCAACACGCUGAUCUGUGUGGCGGCUCUGCUGAUGCUGCUGAUCAGAGAGUGUGACUCUCAGCUCUCUG